RNAcentral lists this long non-coding RNA (2168 nucleotides) under Salmo salar (Atlantic salmon). Its description in RNAcentral is "lncRNA (ENSSSAG00000096063.1)". Lineage: Eukaryota; Metazoa; Chordata; Actinopteri; Salmoniformes; Salmonidae. The record is from RNAcentral.
AUUUUGUGUCCAACAGGUGAAUCACAAGAGAAGGGGAUUCACUCAGUACAACCAGGAGACUGGGCGUGGAUCCAGUCCCUGAGGAGAAAAGACGGGAAGCAGCCCCGUUGGGAAGGCCCAUACCAGGUGCUGUUAAACCAUUGCCUUUGCCAUUAGAAAAGCUGAGAGAGUCACUUGGGUCCACGUUAUCCACUGCAAGAAGGUAUGUACACAUAUGACCACUGCUGAUCACACACAGAGUUAGGAGAAGAACCGAGUACCAACAGGGUCCGGGGGCUACCUCCUUAAAACCUGUUAGGGCUAGGGGGCAGUAUUGACACGGCCGGAUAAAAAACGUACCCGAUUUAAUCUGGUUACUACUCCUGUCCAGUAACUAGAAUAUGCAUAUAAUUAUUGGCUUUGGAUAGAAAACACCCUAAAGUUUCUAAAACUGUUUGAAUGGUGUCUGUGAGUAUAACAGAACUCAUAUGGCAGGCCAAAACCUGAGAAGAUUCCAUGCAGGAAGUGGCCUGUCUGACAAGUUGUUUCAUCUUGGCUCUUUUUAUUGAAGACUGAGGAUCUUUGCUAUAACGUGACACUUCCUACGGCUCCCAUAGGCUCUCAGAGCCCGGGAAAAAGCUGAACGAUAUCGAGGCAGGCUCUUGCUGAAACACAUUAUCGCUUUUGGCAAGUGGCCGAUCAGAGUACUAUGGGCUUAGGCGCAUGACCGAGUCGACCCCAUGCUUUAUUUUCUUUCGUCUGUUUACCUAAACACAGAUUCCCGGUCGGAAUAUUAUCGCUUUUUUAUGAAAAAAAUUGCAUAAAAAUUGAUUUUAAACAGCGGUUGACAUGCUUCGAAGUACGGUAAUGGAAUAUUUAGAAAUUUUUUGUCACGAAUUGCGCCAUGCUCGUCACCCUUAUUUACCCUUUGUUCGUGUCUUGAACGCACGAACAAAACGCCGCAAUUUGGAUAUAACAAUGGAUUAUUUGGGACCAAACCAACAUUUGUUAUUGAAGUAGAAGUCCUGGGAGUGCAUUCUGACGAAGACAGCAAAGGUAAUAACAUUUUUCUUAUAGUAGUAAAUCUGACUUUGGUGAGUGCUAAACUUGCUGGGUGUCUAAAUAGCUAGCCAUGUGAUGCCGGGCUAUCUACUGAGAAUAUUGCAAAAUGUGCUUUCACCGAAAAGCUAUUUUAAAAUCGGACAUAUCGAGUGCAUAGAGGAGUUCUGUAUCUAUAAUUCUUAAAAUAAUUGUUAUGCUUUUUGUGAACGUUUAUCGUGAGUAAUUUAGUAAAUUCACCGGCAGUGUUCGGUGGGAAUGCUAGUCACCUGCUAGUCACAUGCUAAUGUAAAAACCUGUUUUUUGAUAUAAAUAUGAACUUGAUUGAACUUGAUUGAACAAAACAUGCAUGUAUUGUAUAACAUAAUGUCCUAGGGUCGUCAUCUGAUGAAGAUCAUCAAAGGUUAGUGCUGCAUUUAGCUGUGGUUUGGGUUUAUGUGACAUUAUAUGCUAGCUUGAAAAAUGGGUGUCUGAUUAUUUCUGGCUGGGUACUCUGCUGACAUAAUCUAAUGUUUUGCUUUCGUUGUAAAGCCUUUUUGAAAUCGGACAGUGUGGUUAGAUUAACGAGUGUCUUGUCUUUAAAAUGUUGUAAAAUAGUCAUAUGUUUGAAAAAUUUAUGUUUUUGCAUUUUUGAGGUAUUUGAAUAACGCGCCACGGGAUUACACUGGCUGUUGAGUAGGUGGGACGCAAGCGUCCCACCUAGCCCAUAGAGGUUAACGAAGAUUUCCUAUCCCGACCGUUCAUCACUGUUUGUGCUCCUAGAGGUGUUUGAAGUUCCUGGGUGACUGGUAGUCAACCUAGUACAAGUGAGGUGUAGCUGGAAGGAUGUGAGGGUUUUUAACUAAUUAUCUAAUCAUUAAAAUGGAGAUAUACAAAUUGUGUUGAGUGACACCCUAAGGGGUGUCAAAAGGGGGAAUCCUACAUUUCUCUGAAAUGUCUUAUUGGAGUAUGUUCACACCCCAGGGGGUGUGAAAGGGGGGAUUGUUAGGGUUGAACUGGCUAUUUGUUUGCAUAACCUAUAUAAUAUAACGGAGAAGCUAUGCUACAAUAUUAAGUAUAUAAACUAUGGAUAAGUCAACUGCUGAAGACAAGAACUACACCCGGCAACAGGAAGUGCGUCACGAGGUUGG